GACGGAGGAUGCAAGCGUUAUCCGGAAUGAUUGGGCGUAAAGCGUCCGCAGGUGGCAGUUCAAGUCUGCUGUCAAAGACCGGGGCUUAACUUCGGAAAGGCAGUGGAAACUGAACAGCUAGAGUAUGGUAGGGGCAGAGGGAAUUCCUGGUGUAGCGGUGAAAUGCGCAGAUAUCAGGAAGAACACCCGUGGCGAAGGCGGUUCUCUAGGACGGUACUGACGCUGAGACGCGAAAGCGUGGGGAGCGAACAGG
This 253-nucleotide ribosomal RNA is filed under the name uncultured prokaryote. Its description in RNAcentral is "partial 16S ribosomal RNA". It matches the Rfam family "Bacterial small subunit ribosomal RNA", at positions 524 to 776 of the family's 1533-position model. The record is from RNAcentral.